UAGGCAUUAUAAAGGUGUAAAGGUAUCAACUCACAUACACAACAUGGGACCUCAAACAACCUUUAGACAAUGGUUUCUCAACCAUCAUAAGGACACAGGGUGCAGUAGAUCAAAACUGAACCCCUGUGCACCUUCAUUUACUCCCUGAACACAGGAACAAAAUCUGGGUCUUACCAAAAAAAGGCACCAAGUGCCAUAAAACAACCAUAAAAAUAAAUGGAAGCACAGACCUUGGAUUGUCUAAUCUGGAACAAACUCUGGGAACAAAUUCCAGAAACUCUGCUGAGUAACAGCAGCAAGUUCAUGUCGAAACAAGGAACAGCAGAUUGUGUUUACAAAAAAAAACACGAUGUGGUGGAGUAAUUCAGCGGAUGAGGCAGCAUUUCUGGAGAACUUAGAUAAAUAACGUUUUGGGUCUAGACUCUUUUUCAGACUCUCGAGAGAUGUCCUCUAGAGAUACUGCCUCACCCAUUGAGUUACUCUAGCACUUUGUGUCUAUCUUGUAAACCAGCAUCAGCAGUUCCUUAUCUCUAGGUUUGUACCUAAUUGUUCUUUUUUAGUUCCUUACUGCUGCAACAUUUAUUUUAAACUAAUCCCAGUUUUCUGAAGGCCAGAGUUUUGACAUGAGUUUUAUUUAAGUUAAUGCACUUAUUAUUUGUUAGUUCGUUUUCAGGAUCUGCGGCAGACCCAGGUUGUUGGCAAGGCCAGUGUCUACCACCCAUCCUUAACGGCCCUUGAGGAGGUGGUGGUGAACCAUCUUCUUGAACUGUAGCAGUCCCGGUGAGUGAACUCCCACAGGGAGUGGAGCAGCAAGAUCUAGGAUUUAAAUCUCACAACAACGAUGAAACGCUGAAAGAUUUCCAAUCGGCAGAAGACAUGAGGGACAUUUUUUCUAUACCCCACCCUGAGAGCAACAUCAAUUAUUUAUUUAAGCAAACUGAAACAGAUGUCUCAUUUAAUUUAAUCUUACAAUUUAUACAUCCCUGUCAAUUAUCAAAAUAUUAAUUUAAACAAUAUAUUUUUCAGUUAAGGGCAGAGCAAUUGGUUCUAAUUAAAAUGGGUUUCCACAAGCUAAGAAAAUGCGGUCAAUGAUAUUGAAAGCAAAAUCUUCAAUGACACAAAAAUAGUACGAGUGUAAGUAAUAUAGGGGCCUGAUUCAGACAGAAAUGCAUCUGAUGAAACUUUUACUAUAUUUAGCAUGCAACGCUGGUUUGUUAUUUUGGUAAUCCUGAAGAUUUAAACCAGAUUAACCAUAGCAAGGAAAACAUAUGUUGAGUGUUCAAUAUAGUGCAUGUUCAGGCCGUGGGAUCUCCAGUCUUAAUUUGAUAAGAACGGAUUUUAUUUGGAUUUUGAACAAUUUGUAAGAAAUAAUAAUCAGUGGAAUUUCUCCCUUUACCAUAAUUCUAUAAUACCAAAGUGAUUUGUCACAGAAGAUAUGUCUUGUAAUUUGGUUCUCUUAUCUAGCCUGUUCAUUGGAAAAUGAUUUUUUCUAUCAUUCAUUUGCACUCCGUAUCCAGUUCACUUGAAGGAAGUUUAGCAUCCUAACGGAAUGUGGACUGUGGUGAGCAAGGGAGAAUCAUACUCUGUCAAAAAUACCAUCUGUUCUCGUUCCUGUUUCAUAGCUGGCCUCCCCAGUGACUGCUAUCAUGAAGAAACUUAAAACAGGAUUAAACCAAAGCUCGAUCUCUACCUCACAGCUGCCAGAUUUUCUUUAGCCGCAUGAGCUCAGUGCAGAGAGAGAAAAGUGAUGCACACAUGCUUAUACUUUGCCAUUUUGUGGUUGCAGAGCAAAGGAAAGAUUCCUUUCUCAUAUCGAGGUCUGUGACACUGCGUAACCCCACACCAGAAAUGAGUGGUACAAUUGGCUUCUGAGAACACAUGAAAUUAUGUGGUCGAAAUAGUAAGGAUGCAGAUGUUGCUGGCAUGGUUACAAUUUAUUGCUUCAUCUCUUAGCUGCCCCUUUAAACAUCAUGUAAGGUCUAGAGUGACAUGCAGGCCCGACAAGGACUUUGUCCCUGCCAAUAUCUCUCAGCCCAAGAUAUCUUCGUGAUCUGCUGAACAAUCAGUUGAACCGACCAGAGUGGAUCCAACAAUGAUGCACGUGGGUGGAAACAAUGUAGGAAGCAAACAAAGUUCUGUGCCAUCAGAAAACAACCUAUCCAAGACGAGAAUGGAAUUAGUAGAAAUGUGUUGCAGUGAAUACAUUCCAUAUGAAGCAGUACACAAAACCUCUGUGGUGUUGGACCACCCAGAGGUGAACACAUUUAAGGAAUUUAGCCUGUGAUCAAUUUUGUCCCUUCCAGACCAUAACUGACAGCAGGAAUAUUUAUUUCAGCUGCUGUAAAUUAAAGGAAAUCUUAAAACAUGCCCCCAAUAUCCUCUUCUACAGCACAACACGGAGAUAAUGGGGAGAAAGGAAAAGUGCAUAACACUUAGAAGUAAGUUUCACAUGCUCAUCUAACCAGACCUUCUCUUUAAAACAAAGCAACGCAAGCUGCCUCCGCAACCAACUCACCCGAUAAGUAUCUUUACAACCCAAAAAUAAAAAUUCCAAUUUAACCCAUAAUGAUUACCAAAAUUACAGGGAAAACCAUAAAUAUGUCAGUUUUAAUCAUGUUAAAGAAAGAAGCUGCAUCUCUGGAUCUGUCGCUACAAUCUAUUUUUAGUUCCACAGUGAUAUCUCUGAUAACACCCUGUUGGUAUUAAAACUCAAACAAUGCUUGGAAACAUGGAGAAGGAAUGUAAAAUCAUAUAAUUGCUGGUCCGCUUCAUUUCUCUUGUGUGUGCAUCAGAUUUGCUGUAAAAAAAGGAAGGCAAGCUUACCAAUUGCAAUUAUUUUCCUAAUUAACGUUAAUAGUUCGGUUAUUUUUAUUGGACAAUAUCCCAAAUAAUUUCGUGCUUUAAGGUAUCUGUGAUGUGUAUUGGAAUAAAAAAUGUGAUGCAUAAAACUUCUGCAAAUGGAAGUGGAUAUACUGCUAAUGUGUCAUCAGCUGUCUCGGUUUAUAACGUGGACAUUUCAACCGUAUGACUGACGGUGUUCCUGAUACUGAGUAAUAACAGCACAGUCCUCAUUAUAUAAUCCAGAUUAAUUAUUGUUAAGCAUGACAAGGUUGUAGGCAACCUGUCUUGCUGAAUGCAACCAGUAUAUCAAGUGUAUAGUUUGGGCCAAAGCAAGUCAGGGCUGGAAAAAUAAAGCUAUUUUUGGAUUUGUCAUGCUGGGGACUAAGAAGUGUAGGUGGCUCUUGGAAAAUUGACUCCCCAGGCCAUUUUAAAAGGCCAGUACUGAAAUGAAAUAAAGUAGAUCUACGUAAUUAUAAGUACAUGUGUGUUCCACGUAAUUAAAGUACAAGUUUGCAUGGCGACCCUCCUUGACGUCUCAGGGUAAAUAAAAACGAACACAAACACAUGAUUUAUUUUCUGUUAUUUAUAUUUUUAAAUGUAUUUCUUGCCAGGGCAUCGUAUAGGUAGAAAUUAAAAUAGGCACAAUGACAUUUUGGAAAGUGAUUCAUUCUGAAACAAACAUAAAAGUUCUAGGCUUCCACUGCAAUUAUGUUCAAGUUAAUAAAAUUAUAUUUAUGCAUUGA
Long non-coding RNA from Leucoraja erinaceus (little skate), 3584 nucleotides. RefSeq lists it as uncharacterized. Lineage: Eukaryota; Metazoa; Chordata; Chondrichthyes; Rajiformes; Rajidae. The transcript has 3 exons. The record is from RefSeq and is a predicted model, not a curated record.